GACGAACGCUGGCGGCGUGCUUAACACAUGCAAGUCGAACGAUGAUGCCCAGCUUGCUGGGUGGAUUAGUGGCGAACGGGUGAGUAACACGUGAGUAACCUGCCCCUGACUCUGGGAUAAGCGUUGGAAACGACGUCUAAUACUGGAUAUGACUGCCGGCCGCAUGGUCUGGUGGUGGAAAGAUUUUUUGGUUGGGGAUGGACUCGCGGCCUAUCAGCUUGGUGGUGAGAUAAUGGCUCACCAAGGCGACGACGGGUAGCCGGCCUGAGAGGGUGACAGGCCACACUGGGACGGAGACACGGCCCAGACUCCUACGGGAGGCAGCAGGGGGGAAUAUUGCACAAUGGGCGAAAGCCUGAUGCAGCAACGCCGCGUGAGGGAUGACGGCGUUCGGGUUGUAAACCUCUUUUAGUAGGGAAGAAGCGUAAGUGACGGUACCUGCAGAAGAAGCACCGGCUAACUACGUGCCAGCAGCCGCUGUAA
RNAcentral lists this ribosomal RNA (483 nucleotides) under uncultured bacterium. RNAcentral describes it as "partial 16S ribosomal RNA". It matches the Rfam family "Bacterial small subunit ribosomal RNA", at positions 28 to 523 of the family's 1533-position model. The record is from RNAcentral.